AUUGAACGCUGGCGGCGUGCUUAACACAUGCAAGUCGAGCGGUAAGGCCCUUUCGGGGGUACACGAGCGGCGAACGGGUGAGUAACACGUGGGUGACCUGCCCUCAGCUCUGGGAUAAGCCUGGGAAACCGGGUCUAAUACCGGAUAUGACUCCAUGACGCAUGUUGUGGGGUGGAAAGCCUUGUGCGGCUGAGGAUGGGCCCGCGGCCUAUCAGCUUGUUGGUGGGGUGANGGCCUACCAAGGCGACGACGGGUAGCCGGCCUGAGAGGGCGACCGGCCACACUGGGACUGAGACACGGCCCAGACUCCUACGGGAGGCAGCAGUGGGGAAUCUUGCGCAAUGGGCGAAAGCCUGACGCAGCGACGCCGCGUGAGGGAUGACGGCCU
RNAcentral lists this ribosomal RNA (388 nucleotides) under uncultured bacterium. Its description in RNAcentral is "bacterial SSU rRNA". It matches the Rfam family "Bacterial small subunit ribosomal RNA", at positions 28 to 417 of the family's 1533-position model. The record is from RNAcentral.